GGGAAGCGAGGGCAGCUGUGUGUUGAGGAGAAGAGGAAAACCAGAGAAAAAAACCCAGAGUGAAACCUGUGAAAAAGGAAAAAGAGUCGGAGCACUUACCCAGUGGAGGUCCGGAGCCAAGUGGCUGAACGAAGGAGAGUUACGUCGGUAACACGAGUUAAUUAUCCGAUGAAAAGAUAGCUUGACGUCGUCCAUGCUAAUGCCAGCUCUGUGCUUAGCAGGCUAACUUCUUGCCUGUCCUCCGGAGAGCUGCUACGAGGUUCGGCAUCGGCAUGCUCCACCUUGACACACAGAGCAACGGUCAGGUUUUUUAGAGGACUGGAGAGUCUGAGGUUCAGGACAACUUCCUGCUGUAAAAGAUGGCGAGUCAACUACCCUGAUUGAAGAUUAGCACCGAGGAGAUAUUCAGGUACACACUCAUUCACACAAAUAAUACACUCACAUUACACUACAAGGAACCUUGGAAUCAGGUGAACUUGCAACAACUCCUUUUAUUUUAAGGGCCCCAACAGACAAUUUUGUUUUAAGUGUGCACACUACUUUUUUUAUUUUUCUUACUGUUUGGUAUGAUAUUUUGCAUUUUGUACGAACCAGACAAAUUACUUUGUUCACUGUAAAAUAUAAGAGUGGCUACUCAAUUGUUACUCUUGUGUCUGCCUCAUUGUUGUUGCUCAGUACAGUGGCUCCUCUCGAAUUUGGUCUCUUCUGAUUCUGGUCCUGGUCUUAUUGUUAGUCCAACUUAUAUUAUACUGUAAUUCACUUUUACACUCCUAAAAUUGGUUACAUGGGCUCUGAUGACCUGAACUACGCAGGACUGAGUUUCCUUCCAAGAGCAGAGCGGAGCAGAAGGCCUGCUAGAGAGAGAGAGCCGGAGCCUAAUGUUGUCUACGCCACCACCAUGCACUCAAGAAACCACCGGAACUGAAGCUCAGAGAGGAACUGAGGCGUUGUCGUCAGUCUGCUUUUGGGCUUUUGUGCUGUUUGUGGAUGGGAGCAGUUGCCAUCACUGUGACAAGAUGUUGUGAAAAAUAAUUGUGAUAUCUAUGCCACAAUUUAAAAUCAUACUUAAACUCAACUCUUUAUCUUCUCAUUGUACAUGUGUAUCUUGAUGCAAAAGUAAAACGGCAAAAGGCUGGAAAAGGUGUUGAUGACUGUCCAGAGUUUUGUUUUAGUCACGACCUCCGGGGGAUGUCCGGAGAAUGGGGGCCGGACUUCCUGCAGUUUUUGCCUUUCAUACAUGAACAAAGCAGGAGAUUUUCUGCUCAUAUUGUUUAUCAAGCAGUAUUGUUGUAAUCAUGAUCCUAAUAUCAGGGUCCCCCUUUACGAUCACUAUCCAUCACCAAGAUCAGAUGCCACCAUGAAACACAUCUUCAAUUAAAUUGAAAUCUGUUACCACCAUCACCCAGGUGGAAGUCUGCAGUAUGGUGGAACAUCACUUGUUUGACGACCCCUAAUGCAUUGCUCACAGGGAGAUACAGAUGAACAGAUCCAGAGGACAGAGGGAUGAUACCUGGAGUGAAUGUGUGUACUUGAGUGUGAGGCAGUAGAGCUGGACACCUUCUGUAUUUGUCUCUGUGUUUAAUCACAACAGUAUGUCUUUACUGACAUCAGAACAGUCCUGCAAAGUAGAUUUUUACCUCCGUGUGCAACAUGUGAAGCUUCAGCUUGCUAUCUUCUAAAUAAAACAAGUUUAAUUUUA
Molecule: long non-coding RNA, 1699 nt
Organism: Limanda limanda (common dab)
Lineage: Eukaryota; Metazoa; Chordata; Actinopteri; Pleuronectiformes; Pleuronectidae
Exons: 2
Source: RefSeq, a predicted model, not a curated record